CCUACGGGCGGCAGCAGUGGGGAAUAUUGGGCAAUGGGCGCAAGCCUGACCCAGCAACGCCGCGUGAAGGAAGAAGGCUUUCGGGUUGUAAACUUCUUUUCUCAGGGACGAAACACGUGACGGUACCUGGCGCAUAAGCCACGGCUAAAUACGUGCCAGCAGCCGCGGUAAUACGUAGGUGGCAAGCGUUAUCCGGAUUUACUGGGUGUAAAGGACGUGUAGGGGGGACUACAAGUCAGAUGUGAAAACCACGGGCUCAACCUGUGGCCUGCAUUUGAAACUGUAGUUCUUGAGUACGGGAGAGGCAGACGGAAUUCCUAGUGUAGCGGUGAAAUGCGUAGAUAUUAGGAGGAACACCAGUGGCGAAGGCGGUCUGCUGGACAGCAACUGACGCUGAGGCGCGAAAGCGUGGGGAGCAAACAGGAUUAGAUACCCCUGUAGUC
This 443-nucleotide ribosomal RNA is filed under the name uncultured bacterium. Its description in RNAcentral is "partial 16S ribosomal RNA". It matches the Rfam family "Bacterial small subunit ribosomal RNA", at positions 338 to 795 of the family's 1533-position model. The record is from RNAcentral.